GACGGACGCUGGCGGCGUGCUUAACACAUGCAAGUCGAACGGAAAGGCCCUGCUUUUGUGGGGUGCUCGAGUGGCGAACGGGUGAGUAACACGUGAGUAACCUGCCCUUGACUUUGGGAUAACUUCAGGAAACUGGGGCUAAUACCGGAUAGGAGCUCCUGCUGCAUGGUGGGGGUUGGAAAGUUUCGGCGGUUGGGGAUGGACUCGCGGCUUAUCAGCUUGUUGGUGGGGUAGUGGCUUACCAAGGCUUUGACGGGAAGCCGGCCUGAGAGGGUGACCGGCCACAUUGGGACUGAGAUACGGCCCAGACUCCUACGGGAGGCAGCAGUGGGGAAUAUUGCACAAUGGGCGGAAGCCUGAUGCAGCAACGCCGCGUGCGGGAUGACGGCCUUCGGGUUGUAAACCGCUUUCGCCUGUGACGAAGCGUGAGUGACGGUAAUGGGUAAAGAAGCACCGGCUAACUACGUG
RNAcentral lists this ribosomal RNA (468 nucleotides) under uncultured bacterium. Its description in RNAcentral is "partial 16S ribosomal RNA". It matches the Rfam family "Bacterial small subunit ribosomal RNA", at positions 28 to 507 of the family's 1533-position model. The record is from RNAcentral.